Molecule: ribosomal RNA, 456 nt
Filed under: Triticum aestivum (bread wheat)
Lineage: Eukaryota; Viridiplantae; Streptophyta; Magnoliopsida; Poales; Poaceae
Description: partial small subunit ribosomal RNA
Source: RNAcentral
AUGAUAUCAGAUAUGCAAAAUGUUCCCAUGUUACCUCUCGGUGAUAUCACUAAGGUGUGUCAACCAACCUCGGUGGACCUUGACGAGAAAAAAGAGCUAACAAAUGCUCGAAGGCGAGCGGGUUAUCGAAAGAAAAAAGAGGAGGCAGCCAGCAAGCAACAAGAUGAAAAUCUGCCUGCGAUUACGAAAUCAGUUAUGCUAAAUGUUCCCCAAUUACCUCUCGGUGAUAUCACUACUGUGUGCCAACCAUCCUCGAUGGACCUUGACGAGAAAAAGGAGCAAAUAAAGGCUCGGAGGAGAGCUGCUUAUCAAAAGAAAAAAGAGGAGGCAGCCAGCAAGCAACUAGAUGAAAAUCAGCCUGCCCUUACGAUAUUGGAACACAAGGGUGACUUAACAGACGAGCAAAGUGAGCAGAGACGCGCGGAGGCGAGCAAAUUAUCGGAAAAAAGUGGGUGA